Molecule: ribosomal RNA, 618 nt
Filed under: uncultured bacterium
Lineage: Bacteria
Description: bacterial SSU rRNA
Rfam family: Bacterial small subunit ribosomal RNA
Source: RNAcentral
CUAGUUGGCGGGGUAACGGCCCACCAAGGCGACGAUGGCUAGGGGAUCUGAGAGGAUGGCCCCCCACACUGGUACUGAGACACGGACCAGACUCCUACGGGAGGCAGCAGUAAGGAAUAUUGGUCAAUGGGCGCAAGCCUGAACCAGCCAUGCCGCGUGCAGGAAGACGGCCCUCCGGGUUGUAAACUGCUUUUAUACCGGAAUAAACCUCCCUACGUGUAGGGAGCUGAAUGUACGGUAGGAAUAAGGAUCGGCUAACUCCGUGCCAGCAGCCGCGGUAAUACGGAGGAUCCGAGCGUUAUCCGGAUUUAUUGGGUUUAGAGGGUGCGUAGGCGGCCUGUUAAGUCAGGGGUGAAAGACGGUGGCUCAACCAUCGCAGUGCCCUUGAUACUGACGGGCUUGAAUCAACUAGAGGCAGGCGGAAUGUGACAAGUAGCGGUGAAAUGCAUAGAUAUGUCACAGAACACCGAUUGCGAAGGCAGCUUGCUAUGGUUGUAUUGACGCUGAGGCACGAAAGCGUGGGGAUCAAACAGGAUUAGAUACCCUGGUAGUCCACGCCCUAAACGAUGAACACUCGCUGUUGGCGAUACACGGUCAGCGGCUAAGCGAAAGCGUUAA